RNAcentral lists this non-coding RNA (92 nucleotides) under Boseongicola aestuarii. Its description in RNAcentral is "Glycine sequence". It matches the Rfam family "Glycine riboswitch aptamer". Rfam says of the family: This family represents the bacterial glycine riboswitch. Glycine riboswitches usually consist of two metabolite-binding aptamers domains with similar structures in tandem. The aptamers cooperatively bind glycine to regulate the expression of downstream genes. Lineage: Bacteria; Pseudomonadati; Pseudomonadota; Alphaproteobacteria; Rhodobacterales; Paracoccaceae. The record is from Rfam by way of RNAcentral.
UCAGACGCGACGGGAGAAUUCGGGAUUCGUCCCGGUGCCGAAGGAGCAACCGCCCCGGUAAACUCUCAGGCAAACAGGACCGCCGCGCCGAU